AGGACGAACGCUGGCGGCGUGCUUAACACAUGCAAGUCGAGCGGUAAGGCCUUUCGGGGUACACGAGCGGCGAACGGGUGAGUAACACGUGGGUGAUCUGCCCUGCACUUCGGGAUAAGCCUGGGAAACUGGGUCUAAUACCGGAUAUGACCUCCGAUCGCAUGGUUGGUGGUGGAAAGAUUUAUCGGUGCAGGAUGGGCCCGCGGCCUAUCAGCUUGUUGGUGGGGUAAUGGCCUACCAAGGCGACGACGGGUAGCCGACCUGAGAGGGUGACCGGCCACGACUGGGACUGAGACACGGCCCAGACUCCUACGGGAGGCAGCAGUGGGGAAUAUGCACAAUGGGCGAAAGCCUGAUGCAGCGACGCCGCGUGAGGAUGACGGCCUUCGGGUGUAAACCUCUUUCAGCAGGACGAAGCGCAAGUGACGUACUGCAGAGAGCACGGCUAAC
Molecule: ribosomal RNA, 450 nt
Filed under: uncultured soil bacterium
Lineage: Bacteria
Description: bacterial SSU rRNA
Rfam family: Bacterial small subunit ribosomal RNA
Source: RNAcentral